AUUGAACGCUGGCGGCAUGCCUUACACAUGCAAGUCGAACGGCAGCGCGGGGCAACCUGGCGGCGAGUGGCGAACGGGUGAGUAAUAUAUCGGAACGUACCCAGGAGUGGGGGAUAACGUAGCGAAAGUUACGCUAAUACCGCAUACGAUCUACGGAUGAAAGCAGGGGAUCUUCGGACCUUGUGCUCGUGGAGCGGCCGAUAUCUGAUUAGCUAGUUGGUGAGGUAAUGGCUCACCAAGGCGACGAUCAGUAGCUGGUCUGAGAGGACGACCAGCCACACUGGAACUGAGACACGGUCCAGACUCCUACGGGAGGCAGCAGUGGGGAAUUUUGGACAAUGGGCGCAAGCCUGAUCCAGCAAUGCCGCGUGAGUGAAGAAGGCCUUCGGGUUGUAAAGCUCUUUUGUCAGGGAAGAAACGGUUGGGGCUAAUAUCCCCGGCUAAUGACGGUACCUGAAGAAUAAGCACCGGCUAACUACGUGCCAGCAGCCGCGGUAAUACGUAGGGUGCAAGCGUUAAUCGGAACUACUGGGCGUAAAGCGUGCGCAGGCGGUUUUGUAAGUCUGUCGUGAAAGCCCCGGGCUCAACCUGGGAAUUGCGAUGGAGACUGCAAGGCUUGAAUCUGGCAGAGGGGGGUAGAAUUCCACGUGUAGCAGUGAAAUGCGUAGAGAUGUGGAGGAACACCGAUGGCGAAGGCAGCCCCCUGGGUCAAGAUUGACGCUCAUGCACGAAAGCGUGGGGAGCAAACAGGAUUAGAUACCCUGGUAGUCCACGCCCUAAACGAUGUCUACUAGUUGUCGGGUCUUAAUUGACUUGGUAACGCAGCUAACGCGUGAAGUAGACCGCCUGGGGAGUACGGUCGCAAGAUUAAAACUCAAAGGAAUUGACGGGGACCCGCACAAGCGGUGGAUGAUGUGGAUUAAUUCGAUGCAACGCGAAAAACCUUACCUACCCUUGACAUGUACGGAAGCCACGAGAGAUCGAGGCGUGCUCGAAAGAGAGCCGUAACACAGGUGCUGCAUGGCUGUCGUCAGCUCGUGUCGUGAGAUGUUGGGUUAAGUCCCGCAACGAGCGCAACCCUUGUCAUUAGUUGCUACGCAAGAGCACUCUAAUGAGACUGCCGGUGACAAACCGGAGGAAGGUGGGGAUGACGUCAAGUCCUCAUGGCCCCUAUGGGUAGGGCUUCACACGUCAUACAAUGGUACAUACAGAGGGCCGCCAACCCGCGAGGGGGAGCUAAUCCCAGAAAGUGUAUCGUAGUCCGGAUCGCAGUCUGCAACUCGACUGCGUGAAGUUGGAACCGCUAGUAAUCGCGGAUCAGCAUGUCGCGGUGAAUACGUUCCCGGGUCU
This 1350-nucleotide ribosomal RNA is filed under the name uncultured bacterium. RNAcentral's name for it is "bacterial SSU rRNA". It matches the Rfam family "Bacterial small subunit ribosomal RNA", at positions 28 to 1381 of the family's 1533-position model. The record is from RNAcentral.